CGCGAAUUCGCCCUUCGGGGUGCACCAGGCGCGAAAACUUUACAAUGCUGGCAACAGCGAUAAGGGGACCUCGAGUGCCAGGUUACAAAUCUGGCUGUCGUGAUGCCUAAAAAGCAUUGCAUAGCAAGGGCCGGGCAAGACCGGUGCCAGCCGCCGCGGUAACACCGGCGGCUCGAGUGGUAACCGUUAUCAUUGGGUCUAAAGGGUCUGUAGCCGGCCGGAUAAGUCUCUUGGGAAAUCCAGCAGCUCAACUGUUGGGCUUUCAGGAGAUACUGUCUGGCUCGAGGCCGGGAGAGGUGAGAGGUACUUCAGGGGUAGGGGUGAAAUCUUGUAAUCCUUGAAGGACCACCAGUGGCGAAGGCGUCUCACCAGAACGGACCUGACGGCAAGGGACGAAAGCUAGGGGCACGAACCGGAUUAGAUACCCGGGUAGUCCUAGCCGUAAACGAUACUCGCUAGGUGUCGGCCACGGUGCGACCGUUGUCGGUGCCGUAGGGAAGCCGUGAAGCGAGCCACCUGGGAAGUACGGCCGCAAGGCUGAAACUUAAAGGAAUUGGCGGGGGAGCAC
RNAcentral lists this ribosomal RNA (568 nucleotides) under uncultured archaeon. Its description in RNAcentral is "bacterial SSU rRNA". It matches the Rfam family "Archaeal small subunit ribosomal RNA", at positions 311 to 879 of the family's 1478-position model. The record is from RNAcentral.